ACACUUGUGCCCGUGUUUUUCUAGCACUGUCAUAAGAAUACUUUUACCUAUCAAGGCAACUGGGGGUUAGGAGAGCUUUUUGCACAGGAGGCUACUUGGCUUUGUUUGAAAACUGAUGAUACAUGAGGAUUGGGGUGGUGAAUCACUCACAUGUUUCUUCAUAUGAAAAAUGAGGACUGUGGGAUUCUCUGGCUGGAUCUCAGCACCUAGAAAUGGAUCUGGGCAAUAGGAACUGCUCAGUAUUAGCUACCGCUUUGGUUGCCUUCUCCUUGCGGAAAGCUGGCCUCUCACACUGAAUUUGUAUCAUAGGCACUCAUGAGGGUCUUGACUGUAUCAAUAUCUGAUGAGAGAUUUUAGUGCAGUUCUGUUAUCGUGGCUGAUUUGCUCAUUUGGUAGCUAGCAUCCAGCUUCUUGUGAACAUUAAAAUAAAAUAAAAUAGAUUAUGGAGGAAUAGAAUACAGAUACGUAGUAAGGUAUUAUUUUCCAGACAAAAUGGAUUUGGAUAAAAGAAUCUAAUUAAGAACUUGUGCAUGAUUCUUUUAAAAUUCUUUUGAAUCCAUUUUUUUUUUUUUGGCCUGUUUUCAAGUCUCCGAUUUUUGUCACCCUUCUCACACCAGGUCAGAGAGAUAGCUAAUGGUCAGAAGGAAUCUUCCAGCAAUGACCAUAGCGCUUUCUCCUGCCUGCAGAUGCCUCUUUUUAUUCAGCCUUUAUGGGAAGUAGCAGCACCAUCCAGUUCUCAGAGAGCAAGCUCUGGAGUAACUGAGCUAACCCCAGUUACCCCAGUGGAUUUACAGAUUGAGGUUACAACCCAGCAGGGUUCUCUUCCUGGAAAGAAUAGCCUUCCCUCUAAGGUUUCAAAUAGACCCUGGGUGAGGAAGGAGCCCUAAACAGCUUGAAAAAUUGAAUGCUCUUUGGGCAAAGCAGGAAGCCGUCCUAUGGAAGAGCAUCAUUUGAGCAUAAAUCAGGUUAUCAGGACAAACAGAGUGUUCAGGAGGUCAAGAUGGUUAAGCAGAGACCCUGACCAGAAUGUCCGUGGCGGAGAGAAACAAUCUUGUUGGGAAAAGGAUGACAAUAAUUGGGGACUUAGAAUAAAGGCUAAAAAUGAUUCAAAGAGAAUGCAAAAAGAAUCAGGCACAAAUCGUUUACUAUACUCUGUUAUGCAAAUCUCACCUUACUAUGUGUUUGUAUUCUAUUCCUCCACAAUCUUUAUUUUAUUUUAAUGUUCAAAGAGACUUGUAGGUGCCAAUUAAAUGAACAAAACAGCCAGAGACAACAGAACUGCCCUAAAAAAAGUCCCGCAUCAGCUCUUGAGAGCAGGUUCCUUAAAGGUGAACAAUAUUCCACAUACAAGGACUUUUUCAGCACCAUGCAUUAGAAAUGGAAGUGAAUGUUUAUUAUUUUUUGUAUAAGUUGGUUGAUAUGGCUUUUCAGCUUCCCUCAGUAUCAUUAUCCAAAUUUUGUAGAUGACACUAAAGCUCAGAGGAGUUAAACCAUUUUCCUUAAAUCACAUAGCUUUAAAUAGGAAAACCAGAUAUGAAAAGCAGAUUUUUUUUCUAAAUUAAAAAACCAAAAACAAAAACACGUGAGCUCUUGCUUUACCCUAGCACAUAGUCUUGCCAUCUGUUUUCUCCACACCAGGUGAUUCCUGUAACAUUCAUUCACAUAACAAAUACAAAUAAAUGAGUGGAUUCAUUCAUCAGAUAUUAAUUCAGAAUCCCUUUUGUGCCUUCCAGAAAUCUGGACCAUCUCACAACCCCCAGAGAGUCUCAGCUACAAGGAACAAGUGAUAAUGCCAUCCCACUUUUAUAAACACACACACACACACAUGCAAUACACACACAAUCAUUUAAUCAUUUUUAAUUAUUUAAUUAUUUUUUAAAAAUCAGUGACACUUUAGCUGGGCAGGUCUAGAUAGGUCUUCUUUGCUGGGACGUGUCUUUUUCUGUCCUGGAAUACCCUAAACUUCACAUUUUGGCAGCGUGAGUUUUCCCUUUGUGACUUUCUCCUUCUUCCCUUUUUUCCUCCUUCUUUGCAGAGAAUGAGUAGCCACUGCACCUUGCCCUGCGCCAUCAAUGAGAAGAUCUGCUCUUAGUAGAGCCCUGCUUUCCCGCUGAAGGCCCUGAAAUCACCUGUGUUCCAGGCCACCCACUAAGGAUAAACAAAGCUUCCCUGAUAUGGGGAAUUAGCUCAAGUGGUAGAGCGCUUGCUUAGCAUGCAAGAGGUAGUGGGAUCAAUGCCCACAUUCUCCAAGCUUUAUUAUUUAGGUACCCAAACCCGAGUCAGUGUCUGAGAGCAAGACACUGCUCUCGGUGUCUUUGGUUCAAGACAUAGGAGCAGCAACAAUACAGGACUGGUGACAGCUUCCUGCUGGCAUUCAGUAUAGUGUAGAUCUACUGUGUAAUUAAUUUUCUGUUUCUUCGAGGAGCUGUGAAACCAAAGGACAUAUAAAACUGCUCUUUUCUCCCUGUUUCUGCCUGCAGCUUGGUCCUAAAUGUGAGACAAUUGUGAAAAGUGGAGGACAGAGCCACCUGGUUAAAUACAGCCCCAGCUUUCUGGUGAGAGGACUGAAACCAAGAUGUGUCAAGUAACUAGAAUGUGCCUGGACAGAUACUGUAGAAAGCAAAACCAUAAAGUUGUUCAUGAGCUUGUGGACGCACCUGCCAGCUGUGAAUAAGUGGCUCUAAUCCCGAACAACUUACCUAAAAAGAGCCUGAGAGCUGAACUGUGCAAUGGCCCACUUUCCAGUCCUCACUGACCACUGGGUUGCACACACUUUGGAGAUCUCUGAACAGCAGUGUCAAGGCUUUCAAAUAGAGUUAUCUUUGAAACGACAACACAUGAAAGUCUGGUUGGUACUUGGAGCUUAAAUACAAGGCAAUUGUGUGCCUGCAAAAACAAAAAUAGCAAUAUUAUCCUUAAGAUUUCAACAAGACACAGUGUCUCAUCACAUAAUCCAAAGAAGUCCAGGUUACAAGCCCCACAAUAUUCAGCAUUAUGAAAAAACAGGGAGAUCUUAAUUCACAUGGCAAAGAGAAUCCUCGAAUAACAAUAUUGAGAGGACACAGAUGUCAAAAUCAUCUGACACAUACAUUAAAGCAGAUAUUAUAACAAUGCUCCUAGAAUCGGGGAUAACAUUCGUGAAGUGAAUGGAAAGUUGGAAAGUCUCACCAAAUAUUUCGAAUACAUAAACACCAAUUUAAACUUAAGAAUUAAAAAAAUGUAUUAACCAAAACUCUUAGGGGAAAUAAAAAGCUUAAUUGGAGGAUCUCCAUAAUCGAAUGCAGAAGACUAAGGAAAAAGUCAAUGAACUUGAAAACAGAACACGAAUACCUACAUAAUCUGAACUAUAGAGAGAAAGGAGGAUUUUAUUGUCUCUGAACAGAGGCUCAGGCACAAAUAAAAAAUAACAAAUCCAACAUUCACAUUAUUGUAAUCUGGAAAGAAGAGGACAAAGUGGUCUUUGUGGGAUAAAACUUUGAACAAUUAAUAGCUGAAAAUGGUUCAAAUUUGUCAAAAGAUAUAAACCAGAUUUUUAAAGUUCAGUAAAUGUCAAUCAGGAUAAACCCAAAGAAACCCAUAGCAAGGCAUAUCAUAAUCAAACUGCUGAAAACUAAGAAAAUACAAAACAAUUUUGAAAGCAGCCAAAGGGAAAUGAAAGAGAAACUACCAAAUGAAUGAUUGUAGAUUUCGCAUCAGGAACCAUAGGGGCCAGAAAAAAUGUCAUAACAUUCGGUAAGUAACAAAAGAAAAAGACAUAUCGACCCAGAAUGCUAUGUGGAGCAAAAGUAUCUUCCAGACAUAAAGGCAAAUAAAUGCAUUCUCAGUGGAAGGUAAGUAAAUACAUUCUCAUUCUUAGGAAGACUGCUGGAAAAGAAUUAGCAAAGAUUUGAGAUAAGAAAAAUGAUACCAGAAGGAAACUUAGAACAUCAUCAGUGAAGGAACAAAAGCAGAAAUAGAACAUGUCUGGGUAGACAUAACAGACUAUUAUUCUUCCCUUGAGUUCCUUAAGGUAUGUUUGAUGAUUGAAAGCAAAAAUUGUAACUUUAUCAGAAGCAGUUGUCAUUGUAUCUAGAUGUACUACAUACAGAAGAUAAAAGGGUAAGUGUAAUGGGACUAACUCUUGAUGAAGUUUCUUUAUUCAACUUGAAUGGUAAAAUAUUGAUUCUAAGUAUACUGUGAAAGGUUAUAUAUGUAUAUGGUAAACCCUAGACCACCUACUAACAAGAUUUAAAUAAACCAAAACAAGAUAGAAAGAGGAACAUAGAUGAAUUAAAACAAAGGGAAACAAGGUUAAUACAUUAUUAAAUAAUAGACCUAUCUAAAAACUUAUCUAUAAUGACAUUACAUGUAAAUAAUCUAAACGCAUUAAUUAAAAACUAGAGAUCAUCAGAAUGUGUUAAAAAUAAAUAUGCUGACUAAAGAAAGCCACCUGCUAUACACUUAUAUAUAAGAAUAAAAGUUAUAGAGCAGAUUGAAAGAAAAGAGUGGGAAAAGAUACCUCAUGCAAGCACUAAUCAAAGACAGCUGUGAUGUAUAUAUAAAAAAAUCAGACAAAGUACAUUUGAAAGCAGAGAAACUUUUCAGGAAUAAUGAGGCCUGCUAAAUAAUUAUGAUUGUCAAUUUUCCAGGGGAAUAUUGUCCCAAGUGUAUAUGAGAACAUAGAGCUUCAAAACUCAUAAACAAAAUUGGAUACGCAAGGUAAAAACAGAAAAAUCCAAUUAGAGUUGCCGACACUAACACUCCUCUCUCGGUAAUUGGUAGACUUAGUAGAAAACAAAUCAGCAAACAUAUUGGAGAAUUAAACCAUACCAUCCAGUAAUGGACCUAUUAACUUCAUAAUGCAAAAUAAAAAUUUAGGUAGAAGGCAAAGACAAAAGUUAAAAGAAAAGUAAAGAUCAUGUUAUAACCAGGAAAUUAAGAGUAGUCCAGCAUAUAGAAGAGUGCUAUUAUUGGAAGAGUUAUUUAGUUAUUUUGAGACAUUUUUUGAAAGAGUUAUUUAGCUGGAAAUGACAGAAAGACUGAAAAUGGUGAAUCUGGAGGUGGAUCUCCCCUUGUCCAUAUUUAUUUUGUCUUUUUUUGAGGUCUAGGGUGUCUAUACUUCCUCUGAAUUACCUACAGUGUCUGGCACAGAGCAUCUCCCCAGUGAAUAUGUAUUAAAUGAGUAGAAAGUAAUUUAUAGAUUCAAAAGAACUGGGCAAGAAUAAUGUUCAUUAUUUGACAAAUCCUUGAAUGUAGUGUUUGAAGGAAGACAAUAAGUCAAAGUUGACUUGAAAGGUAAGCCCAAGUCCAGACUCUUUUCUGUAAUCCCAGCACUUUGAGAGGCCGAGAUGGGCAGAUCCCGUGACACCAGGAGUUUGAGACCAGCCUGGACAACACAGUGAAACCCUGUCUCUACAAAAAAUACAAAAAUUAGCCAGGUGUGGUGGUAUGCAUCUGUAGUUCCAGCUACUCAGGAGGCUGAGGUGGGAGGAUCGCUUGAAUCUGGGAGGCGGAGGUUGCAGUGAACAGAGAUUGCACCGGUGCCUGGACAACAAAGUGAGACCCUGUCAUAAAAUAAAAUAAAAUAAAAUAAAAUAAAAUAAAAUAAAAUAAAAUAAAAUAAAAUAAAAUAAAAUAGUUAAACCCAGGCCGGGAGGGGUAGCUCACACAUGUAAUCACAGCACUUUGGGAGGCUGAGGUGGGCGGAUCACCUGAGGUCAGGAGUUUGAGACCAGCCUGGCCAACAUGGUGAAACCCCAUCUCUACUAAAAAUACAAAAAUUAGCUGGGCGUGGUUGCAAGCACCUGUAGUCCCAGCUACUCAGGAGGCUGAGACAGGAGAAUUACUUGAACCUGGGAGACAGAGGUUGCCGUGAGCCAAGAUCUCACCAGUGCAGUACAGCGUGGGUGACAGAGCAAGUAAGUAAAGAGGAGGUUUGGAAUUAGAUAUUUGGUGUAUGAAUGAAUGGGCUAAAGUGCAAAAGAACAGGCAGAAUAACUGAGCUGGUACAGAGGAAAAAAAUCACACUUAAAAUCUAAAAGUAUCUGCUUCUCAAUUUGGGCUUUCCCACUUAGCAGCUUUGACACCUUAGAAAGAACACUUAACUUACCUGAGCUUCUAUUACUUCUAAAAAGUGCAUAAAGUGCAGGCUAAGACAUAGUUUUUUUGGCAAAAUUCAGUCAGACUACAUCAAGUAAACUCCCUAAGUCUCCUAGUAUAAUUCAUGGCACAAAAACUGGGGAAAAAACAGGGAGGAUAUGUUUAUAAGUUCAGUUUGGGUUUUUUGUUGAGUGAAUGUCUCCAGUCAUAGAGAUGCAAGUGUAGAUACACCGUAAGAGUAGUAUGAACAGGAGACACCUUGGAAGGCUAUUUCUUCCUUCAUUCAUUCAGUUGGUCACUCAAUGAACUAUCAUGAAUUGAGCACUACCUCUGUUUCUUAUCAACAAAGGAGACUACGGAAAAGAAGAGUGACUAAGAUCUCUGAAGAAGGGAAAAGCUAGAUGACUGGGCCACAAGAGGAAAAAAAGCAGCAAGACAGCUUGAAUGUGAGGCAACUGUGAAAAGUGCAGGGCAGAGCCACCUGGGUAAAUACAGCCCUGGCUUUCUGGUGAGAGGACUGAAACCAGGAUGUGUCAAGUAACUAGAAUGUGCCUGGACAGAUACUGUAGAAAGCAAACCCAUAAAGUUGUUCAUGAGCUUGUGGACGCACCUGCCAGCUGUGAAUAAGUGGGUCUAAUCCCAAACAACUUACCUAAAAAGAGCCUGAGGACUGAACUAAACAAUGGUCCACUUUCCAGUCCUCACUGACCACUGGUUGCACACACUCCAGAGAUCUCUCAUCCGCAGUGUCAAGGCUUUCAAAUAGAGUUAUCUGUGAAACAACAACACAUGGAAGUCUGGUUGGUACUUGGAGCUUAAAUACAAGGCAAUUGUGUGCCUGCAAAAACAAAAAGAGCAAUAUUAUCCUUAAGAUUUCAACAAGACACAGUGUCUCAUCACAUAAUCCAAAGAAGUCCAGGUUACAAGCCCCAAAAUAUUCAGCAUUAUGAAAAACCAGGGAGAUCUUAAUUCACAUGGCAAAGAGAAUCCUUGCAUAACAAUAUUGAGAGGACACAUAUGUCAAAAUCAUCUGACACAUACAUUAAAGCAGUUAUUAUAACAAUGCUCCUAGAAUUACGGGAUAGCAUUCAUGAAGUGAAUGGAAAGUUGGAAAGUCUCACCAAAUAUUUGGAAUAUGUAAACACCAAUUUAAACUUAAGAAUUAAAAAAAGUAUUAACCAAAACUAUUAGGGGAAAUAAAAAGCUUAAUUGGAUGAUCUCAAUAGCAGUAUGCAGAAGACUAAGGAAAAAGUCAAUGAACUUGAAAACGGAACAAGAAUACCUACAGAAUCUGACCUAUAGAAAGAAAGGAGGAUUUUAUUGUCCCUGAACAGAGGCUCAGGGACAAAUAAAAAAUAACAAAUCUAACAUUCACAUUAUUGUAAUCUGGAAACAUUCACAUUAUUGUAAGAGGACAAAGAGGUCUUUGUGGGAUAAAACUGUGAAGAAUUAAUGGCUGAAAAUGUAUCAAAUUUCUCAAAAGAUAUAAACCAGAUUUUUAAAGUUCAGUAAAUGUCAAGCAGGAUAAACCAAAAGAAACCCAUUGCAAGACAUAUCAUAAUCAAACUGCGGAAAAUUAAGAAAACACAAAACAAUUUUGAAAGCAGCCAAAGGGAAAUGAAAGAUAAAAUACCAAAUGAAUGAUUGUAGAUUUCUCAUCGGGAACCCAGGAGCCAGAAAAAAAUGUCAUAACAUUCAGUAAAUACCAAAGGAAAAAUACAUUAUCAACCCAGAAUGGUAUGUGGAGCAAAAGUAUCUUCCAGACAUAAAGGCAAAUAAAUGCAUUCUCAUUGGAAGGUAAAUAAAUACAUUCUCAGUCCUAGCAAAACUGCUGGAAAAGAAUUAGCAAAGGUUUGAGAUAAGAAAAGUGAUACCAGAAGGAAACUUAGAACAUCAUCAAUGAAGGAACAAAAGCAGAAAUAGAAAAUGUCUGGGUAGACAUAACAGACUAUUAUUCUUCUCUUGAGUUCCUUAAGACAAUGAGUAGCCACUGCUGUUUGCCCUGGCCCAUCAAUGAGAAGAUCUGCUCUUAGAGCCCUGCUUUCCUGCUGAAGGCCCUGAAAUCACCUGUGUUCCAGGCCACCUGCUAACAAUAAAUAAUGCUGCCCUGAUGUGGGGAAUUAGCUCAAGUGGUAGAGCGCUUGCUUAGCACGCAAGAGGUAGUGGGAUCGAUGCCCACAUUCUCCAAGCUUUAUUAUUUAGACAUCGUGUCUCCAAACACUCAGGUCUCCAAACCCAAGUUAGUGUCUGAGAACAGGAUGCUGCUUUGGUUCAAGACGUAGGAGCAGCAAUAAUAGAGGGCUGGUGAUGGCUCCCUCUUGGCAUUCAGUAUAGUGUAGAUCUACCAUGUAAUUAAUUCUCUGUUUCUUUGAGGAGCUGUGAAACCAAGGGACAUAUACAACUGCUCUUUUCUCCCUGUUUCUACCUGCAGCUUUGUCCUAAAUGUGAGACAAUUAUGAAAAGUGCAGCGCAGAGCCACUUGGGUAAAUACAGCCCCGGCUUUCUGCUCAGGGGACAGAGUUUGAGGCACUGCAGAGGAACCGGCCAAAGUAUGAGACCCAUAUAUUGAGAGUAACAGAGUGUAAAGUUCAAAAAAAUCAAAAUAUUUAAAGAUUUAUCAUGGGUCUUGAUGACAUGAUGGAAUCUCUCUACUCUCUGGACUUAUUAUGUGUGGUAAUAAAUUUACUUUUUAAAAGCCAGUUGAGUGUUUUUAAUGUUGUGGAGCUAUUGCUAAGAGUUUCCUGAGUUUUUUCCAGUAAUGUAGAGAUCUUUGUGCUAAAUAUUUCAUAAAGAAGUUUGG
This 8878-nucleotide transfer RNA is filed under the name Homo sapiens (human). Its description in RNAcentral is "HSALNT0102947". The stretch from base 8193 to 8265 matches the Rfam family "tRNA". The record is from RNAcentral. Lineage: Eukaryota; Metazoa; Chordata; Mammalia; Primates; Hominidae.